UACGGGGGGAGCAAGCGUUGUUCGGAUUUACUGGGCGCAAAGGGCGCGUAGGCGGCCACCGCAAGUCGACUGUGAAAUCUCCGGGCUUAACCCGGAAAGGUCAGCCGAUACUGCGGGGCUAGAGUGCAGAAGGGGCAACUGGAAUUCUCGGUGUAGCGGUGAAAUGCGUAGAUAUUGGGAAGAACACCUGAGGCGAAGGCGGGUUGCUGGGCCGACACUGACGCUGAGGCGCGAAAGCCAGGGGAGCAAACGGG
RNAcentral lists this ribosomal RNA (254 nucleotides) under uncultured bacterium. Its description in RNAcentral is "partial 16S ribosomal RNA". It matches the Rfam family "Bacterial small subunit ribosomal RNA", at positions 524 to 776 of the family's 1533-position model. The record is from RNAcentral.